This 510-nucleotide long non-coding RNA is filed under the name Prunus persica (peach). RNAcentral describes it as "long non-coding RNA (PPER_LNC001392)". The record is from RNAcentral. Lineage: Eukaryota; Viridiplantae; Streptophyta; Magnoliopsida; Rosales; Rosaceae.
GCCGUUAAGUUUGCAGCCUCCCCGAGGAUGUGUGCCAUCAAGUCCUCACUUAAGGAUGUGGGCGUGGCCGUAGCAGCCACUGCAGCAAGUGCAAUCUUGGCAAGCAAUGCCUUGGCCAUUGAGGUGUUGCUCGGCGGCGAUGACGGUUCCUUGGCUUUCAUCCCCAACAGCUUCUCAGUCAGCCCAGGAGAGAAGAUUGUGUUCAAGAACAAUGCUGGAUUCCCACACAACAUUGUGUUCGACGAGGACGAGAUUCCCAGCGGUGUGGAUGCUGGAAAGAUCUCCAUGGGCGAGGAGGACCUCCUCAAUGCCCCAGGGGAGACAUACGCCAUCACCUUGACUGAGAAAGGUUCCUAUGCUUUCUACUGUUCUCCUCACCAGGGAGCCGGCAUGAUCGGCAAAGUCACCGUUAACUAAUUAUUAAUUCAACUUGUUCAUUUCUUUCCCCCUUCUAAAACUUCCUUUUUUGGGAGGUAUUAGUAGAUCGAGCUUUCACAAUCAGUAUAUUCG